CCGUAGCCCAAGAGAUCGGGAUAACACCUGGAAACAGAUGCUAAUACCGGAUAACAACAGAUGAUGCCUAUCAACUGUUUAAAAGAUGGUUCUGCUAUCACUCUUGGAUGGACCUGCGGUGCAUUAGCUAGUUAGUAGGGUAACGGCCUACCAAGGCGAUGAUGCAUAGCCGAGUUGAGAGACUGAUCGGCCACAUUGGGACUGAGACACGGCCCAAACUCCUACGGGAGGCAGCAGC
RNAcentral lists this ribosomal RNA (238 nucleotides) under uncultured Lactobacillus sp. Its description in RNAcentral is "partial 16S ribosomal RNA". It matches the Rfam family "Bacterial small subunit ribosomal RNA", at positions 125 to 355 of the family's 1533-position model. The record is from RNAcentral. Lineage: Bacteria; Bacillati; Bacillota; Bacilli; Lactobacillales; Lactobacillaceae.